GAUGAACGCUAGCGGGAGGCCUAACACAUGCAAGCCGAGCGGUAGAGAUCUUUCGGGAUCUUGAGAGCGGCGUACGGGUGCGGAACACGUGUGCAACCUGCCUUUAUCAGGGGGAUAGCCUUUCGAAAGGAAGAUUAAUACCCCAUAAUAUUUAGAAUGGCAUCAUUUUAAAUUGAAAACUCCGGUGGAUAGAGAUGGGCACGCGCAAGAUUAGAUAGUUGGUAGGGUAGCGGCCUACCAAGUCUGCGAUCUUUAGGGGGCCUGAGAGGGUGAUCCCCCACACUGGUACUGAGACACGGACCAGACUCCUACGGGAGGCAGCAGUGAGGAAUAUUGGACAAUGGGUGCGAGCCUGAUCCAGCCAUCCCGCGUGAAGGAUGACGGCCCUAUGGGUUGUAAACUUCUUUUGUAUAGGGAUAAACCUAGAUACGUGUAUCUAGCUGAAGGUACUAUACGAAUAAGCACCGGCUAACUCCGUGCCAGCCGCCGCAGUAA
Molecule: ribosomal RNA, 495 nt
Filed under: uncultured bacterium
Lineage: Bacteria
Description: partial 16S ribosomal RNA
Rfam family: Bacterial small subunit ribosomal RNA
Source: RNAcentral